RNAcentral lists this ribosomal RNA (433 nucleotides) under uncultured bacterium. RNAcentral describes it as "partial 16S ribosomal RNA". It matches the Rfam family "Bacterial small subunit ribosomal RNA", at positions 29 to 507 of the family's 1533-position model. The record is from RNAcentral.
AACGAACGCUGGCGGCAGGCCUAACACAUGCAAGUCGAGCGAGGACUUCGGUUCUAGCGGCGGACGGGUGAGUAACGCGUGGGAAUGUGCCCUUCUCUACGGAAUAGCCCUGGGAAACUGGGAGUAAUACCGUAUACGCCCUAUUGGGGAAAGAUUUAUCGGAGAAGGAUCAGCCCGCGUUGGAUUAGGUAGUUGGUGGGGUAAUGGCCUACCAAGCCGACGAUCCAUAGCUGGUUUGAGAGGAUGAUCAGCCACACUGGGACUGAGACACGGCCCAGACUCCUACGGGAGGCAGCAGUGGGGAAUCUUAGACCAUGGGGGCAACCCUGAUCUCGCCAUGCCGCGUGAGUGAUGAAGGCCUUAGGGUUGUAAAGCUCUUUCAGCUGGGAAGAUAAUGACGGUACCAGCAGAAGAAGCCCCGGCUAACUCCGUG